AAACCACAGGGGGUUAAGUGAAAGCACGAUCAAUUUCAAAAGGUGCCCAUAUAAUUAAUUCUAAGGAUAAAUUUGUCAUUUGAAGAUUUUUUUUUUAAACGAUGUGAGAAUUUUUUAACUAGACGAGUUUUAUGAAAACAACUUGAAAUCUUAGAGGAUGUUAAUGUAAUUUCUGAAAUUUAAGGAGAUAUUGUGAAAACAUGAAAAAUAUUAGAGGGUGUCAAUUCAAAUUUUAUGAGUACAUAAUUUUUCUUUUUAAUAGCUCAUAUUAACAUUUGGUUUAUAACGCAAAAGGUUUUCAUGCUUAAAUGACUUGAACGUCAGGUUUAUGAUUCCCU
This 338-nucleotide long non-coding RNA is filed under the name Prunus persica (peach). Its description in RNAcentral is "long non-coding RNA (PPER_LNC002979)". Lineage: Eukaryota; Viridiplantae; Streptophyta; Magnoliopsida; Rosales; Rosaceae. The record is from RNAcentral.